UCGUGGAAUCAAAUGCUAUGUUGAUGAUAUGAUAGCAAAGUCCCAAACAGAAGAAGGGCAUCUGGUGGAUCCGGGGCAAGUUGUGUGACCAGUUGAGACAACUCAGACUGAGGUUGAGUCCGAACCAGUGCACUUGUGGAGUGCUGACCGGUAAACUGCUGAGGUUUAUUGUGAACAAAAGAGGAAUCGAGGUCGAUCCU
This 200-nucleotide long non-coding RNA is filed under the name Lathyrus oleraceus (garden pea). RNAcentral's name for it is "Pisum sativum (pea) long non-coding RNA (PSAT_LNC021552)". The record is from RNAcentral. Lineage: Eukaryota; Viridiplantae; Streptophyta; Magnoliopsida; Fabales; Fabaceae.